GCUAACGUCGUGCCGGCAGCCGCGGUAAUACGAAGGUGGGAAGAGGUAGUAGGAAUUACUAGGCGUAAAGGGGAGGUAGGCGGUUUGAUGAGUCUGUUGUGAAAGCGCCCGGCUGAACUGGGAGAGGUCAACAGAUACUGUCGAACUUGAGUAUGGGAGAGGGUACUGGAAUUCCUGGUGUAGCGGUGAAAUGCGCUGAGAUCAGGAGGAACACCGAUGGCGAAAGCAGGUGCCUGGACCAUUACUGACGCUCAGCUGCGAAAGCUAGGGGAGCAAACAGGAUUAGAUACCCUUGUAGUC
RNAcentral lists this ribosomal RNA (300 nucleotides) under uncultured Prevotella sp. Its description in RNAcentral is "bacterial SSU rRNA". It matches the Rfam family "Bacterial small subunit ribosomal RNA", at positions 496 to 795 of the family's 1533-position model. The record is from RNAcentral. Lineage: Bacteria; Pseudomonadati; Bacteroidota; Bacteroidia; Bacteroidales; Prevotellaceae.